Long non-coding RNA from Equus quagga, 1047 nucleotides. RefSeq lists it as uncharacterized. Lineage: Eukaryota; Metazoa; Chordata; Mammalia; Perissodactyla; Equidae. The record is from RefSeq and is a predicted model, not a curated record. The transcript has 4 exons.
GAGCGCGGGCGCAGCUCCAAGGUCCCUCCCUGGGCCCCGAGAGGCGGCUCCAGCACCUGCGCAGAGGAGAAGCGAGCGUGUGGUCAGGCUUCCGGGGCCGGCGGACCGGCGUCGAGGCCUCGAGAGCCCGGCGUCUGUUUGACCAAAAUCCUACCGCUUCGAAUCCCCACGGAUAUCCCUUAAAGAGCCUUACUUUCAGAAAACACACAUCCCGGCGGAAAUUUGCAAGAUAGAACAUCCCGACGGAGAGCCUCUCCCCUUGGUGGCCUCUCCCUGCCCAAGACACACCCUGUCUGAGAGAACGGCGUCCCCCCGCCCCCACGCUCUGACACACAGACCUCAUCUGCACGGAGAGCUACUAAUCCUGACCCAUGUGUACAACAGAUACAUAGGAUACACUCCGACAGAGAUCCUGGUGCGCACACACUGAUCAGGACACACGGACAUCCUGGCAGAAGUGCUCACCUGAACUCCAGGUUCGGCAGUGGGAACGCAGACACACUUAGAUACUCAGGCCCGCGUGGACCGUUCACAAAGAACACGCAUUUAGCAGAAGAUGCCAGAAUUGUGCUAGUUGCGGGGAGUGCAAGGACAGAAUCCAAGCAGGGGGGACGAGCAUCAUGUGUACAAACAGGGAGACUUUAUUAAUCAUUUAGCAAACAUUUAUGGACUGCUUGGGAUAUGCCAAGCAUUAGGCUAGGCCCUGGGGAAAAAGAGAAAUGCAACGUGGUCUCUCACAUGUCUAAUGAGGAAGACAUCCCAACAAGUAAAUAAUUACAACAGGCACUGUGGUAGAGGUGAGAAGACUUCGUGUCGUGCCCUUCUCCUAUGACAUCAAGCGCAAUCAUCGGUUCAGCUCUCACCUGUCUCUGGGGCAGCACCGUGCUCUGCUGUGGUAGAAGAAGCCUUGGGAGCUAGCAUUGUCUUGUUGUUGCCACUGACAGGCAAGUCCACAGUCACAGGGAGGGACCAGGAUCCCCAGGAGCCAAGGAGGGAAACCCCAUCAGGUUGGCUACGCAGCUGGAGCCAGUAGGAGUUACCAGGCUG